UGAAUACGAGACGCUAAGGCGUCGAAGUAGUGUAUGUCAUACUUCCAAGAAAAGCUUGCACUGUCAUAGAUAAAAAACGCCUGUACCAUAACCGACACAGGUGGGUAGGUAGAGUAUACUAAGGGGCGCGAGAUAACUCUCUCUAAGGAACUCGGCAAAAUAACUCCGUAACUUCGGGAGAAGGAGUGCCUUAUUUUUAAGGCUGCAAUAACAAGAUCCAAGCAACUGUUUAUCAAAAACACAGGUCUCCGCUAAGUCGUAAGUCGAUGUAUGGGGGCUGACGCCUGCCCAGUGCCAGAAGGUUAAAGAAGUUGGUUAGCUUUUGCGAAGCUGAUAACUGAAGCCCUGGUGAACGGCGGCCGUAACGAUAACGGUCCUAAGGUAGCGAAAUUCCUUGUCGGGUAAGUUCCGACCCGCACGAAAGGCGUAAUGAUUUGGAUACUGUCUCGGAGAGGGGCUCGGUGAAAUAGACUUGUCUGUGAAGAUGCGGACUACCUGCACCAGGACAGAAAGACCCUAUGAAGCUUUACUGUAACUUGAAAUUGAAAUUGGACUUUAUUCGCGCAGCAUAGGUGGGAGGCGUUGAUUAUAAUCUCGUGGGAUUAUUGGAGCCAUCAGUGAGAUACCACUCUUGUAAUGUUAGAUUUCUAACUUUGAAUCAUUAUCUGGUCAAAGAACAGUUUCAGGCGGGCAGUUUGACUGGGGCGGUCGCCUCCUAAACGGUAACGGAGGCGUACAAAGGUUUCCUCUGAACGGUUAGAAAUCGUAUCUAGAGUGUAAAGGCAUAAGGAAGCUUGACUGUGAGACCUACAAGUCGAGCAGGGACGAAAGUCGGUCUUAGUGAUCCGACGGUACUGAGUGGAAAGGCCGUCACUCAACGGAUAAAAGUUACUCUAGGGAUAACAGGCUGAUCUCCCCCAAGAGUUCACAUCGACGGGGAGGUUUGGCACCUCGAUGUCGGCUCAUCGCAUCCUGGGGCGGUAGUACGUCCCAAGGGUUGGGCUGUUCGCCCAUGAAAGCGGUACGCGAGCUGGGUUCAGAACGUCGUGAGACAGUUCGGUCCAUAUCCGGUGUAGGCGUUAGAAUAUUGAGAGGAGCCUUCUUUAGUACGAGAGGACCGAGAAGGACAUACCUCUGGUGUACCAGUUAUCGUGCCAACGGUAAACGCUGGGUAGCUAUGUAUGGAGUGGAUAACCGCUGAAAGCAUCUAAGUGGGAAGCCCACCUCAAGAUAAG
RNAcentral lists this ribosomal RNA (1235 nucleotides) under metagenome. RNAcentral's name for it is "bacterial LSU rRNA". It matches the Rfam family "Bacterial large subunit ribosomal RNA", at positions 1564 to 2808 of the family's 2925-position model. The record is from RNAcentral.